GACGAACGCUGGCGGCGCGCCUAACACAUGCAAGUCGAACGAGCGAGAGAGAGCUUGCUUUCUCAAGCGAGUGGCGAACGGGUGAGUAACGCGUGAGGAACCUGCCUCAAAGAGGGGGACAACAGUUGGAAACGACUGCUAAUACCGCAUAAGCCCACGGUGCCGCAUGGCACAGAGGGAAAAGGAGCAAUCCGCUUUGAGAUGGCCUCGCGUCCGAUUAGCUAGUUGGUGAGGUAACGGCCCACCAAGGCGACGAUCGGUAGCCGGACUGAGAGGUUGAACGGCCACAUUGGGACUGAGACACGGCCCAGACUCCUACGGGAGGCAGCAGUGGGGAAUAUUGCACAAUGGGGGAAACCCUGAUGCAGCGACGCCGCGUGGAGGAAGAAGGUCUUCGGAUUGUAAACUCCUGUUGUUGAGGAAGAUAAUGACGGUACUCAACAAGGAAGUGACGGCUAACUA
This 462-nucleotide ribosomal RNA is filed under the name uncultured bacterium. Its description in RNAcentral is "bacterial SSU rRNA". It matches the Rfam family "Bacterial small subunit ribosomal RNA", at positions 28 to 503 of the family's 1533-position model. The record is from RNAcentral.